CUGGGCGGCGACCGGCAAACGGGUGCGGAACACGUACACAACCUUCCGAGAAGUGGGGAAUAGCCCAGAGAAAUUUGGAUUAAUACCCCGUAACAUAACGAUGUGGCAUCACAUUGUUAUUAUAGCUUCGGCGCUUCUUGAUGGGUGUGCGGCUGAUUAGAUAGUUGGCGGGGUAACGGCCCACCAAGUCUACGAUCAGUAGCUGAUGUGAGAGCAUGAUCAGCCACACGGGCACUGAGACACGGGCCCGACUCCUACGGGAGGCAGCAGUAAGGAAUAUUGGUCAAUGGACGCAAGUCUGAACCAGCCAUGCCGCGUGAAGGAUUAAGGUCCUCUGGAUUGUAAACUUCUUUUAUCUGGGACGAAAAAAGGCGAUUCUUCGUCACUUGACGGUACCAGAUGAAUAAGCACCGGCUAACUCCGUGCCAGCAGCCGCGGUAAUACGGAGGGUGCAAGCGUUAUCCGGAUUCACUGGGUUUAAAGGGUGCGUAGGCGGGCAGGUAAGUCAGUGGUGAAAUCCUAGAGCUUAACUCUAGAACUGCCAUUGAUACUAUCUGUCUUGAAUAUUGUGGAGGUAAGCGGAAUAUGUCAUGUAGCGGUGAAAUGCUUAGAUAUGACAUAGAACACCUAUUGCGAAGGCAGCUUACUACGCAUAUAUCGACGCUGAGGCACGAAAGCGUGGGGAUCAAACAGGAUUAGAUACCCUGGUAGUCC
Molecule: ribosomal RNA, 714 nt
Filed under: uncultured bacterium
Lineage: Bacteria
Description: bacterial SSU rRNA
Rfam family: Bacterial small subunit ribosomal RNA
Source: RNAcentral